GGGGAUUUAGCUUAGCAGCAUAAGUGCCUGCUUGGCAAGCAUGAGGUCCUGAGUUCAAUCCUCAGUACCA
This 70-nucleotide transfer RNA is filed under the name Cavia porcellus (domestic guinea pig). It matches the Rfam family "tRNA". From Rfam's summary of the family: Transfer RNA (tRNA) molecules are approximately 80 nucleotides in length. Lineage: Eukaryota; Metazoa; Chordata; Mammalia; Rodentia; Caviidae. The record is from Rfam by way of RNAcentral.